AGAAUAUAUAACAUGACACAAUAAAGAGUAAAAACUUAAAUAUUACAUCUAGUAUACUAUCAUCAUGACAAGACAAGAUCUUCUAGGUCGUUAUUGUUAAUUAAGUCUACUCUAGUUCUAUCCCCUUCCACUUCUAUAGCUUCAACCAUAGGUCUCCUAAAUUAUUCCAGAGCAGUUGCAAAAUAAAUGCUUCAUUCCAAUAUAUGAACAAAACCUGUCUAUACAUAGGUUUUGUUUAUAGAUUCUGGAUGCUAAUGCUGUGUCCUUAUCUUUUCUGCAUGUAUGGCUGCUUUAUGUUCUUUAAUCCAAGUAGAAAGACAAUGCUUAGUUAUUAUAUAUAAUCUACUCAAUAGUCUGGUCCUAAUACCAGCAUGGUCACAGAAUCCCAUUCUGGAUAACCUGAUAUAUUUAGGACUUUGUUUUGAAGGGCUUAUACAGAUUGUUGAGAUAUGAAAAUAGGAUAUAAGAGUUCUGUUUAAUAAUUGCACAAGGCUCCAAACAUGGUAUGCCUAUAAAAUCAUGAAAGGAUUAUAGGAAGAAGUUACUAAAUCUGACAUCUAAUGAUAUUAUACAGUCUACAUCCAAGUCAAGAUAAUCGAAUGCAGUUGAACCAGUGAUAUUGUUAUUAUAACAUAUGAUCCAUUAUGUACAUUGCUUAAAAAGAUCAGCUAAGGGUGCCCUUUGUAAUCUUGUGUAUAGGAGAAAACUCAUUAUUUUUUCACUGCUUAGAAACUAUAAGGAUGCUAUUAGCUCAGACAGAAAAUCUGGUUCUACUCCAUCCCAGUCUGCAACCACAUUAAUACAAUGCCAUUCACAAUACAUAAGCAGAACUAAGUAUUGUCUUUCUACCAAGAUUAAAGAACAUAAGGCAGGGAUAUGUGCAGGGAACUAUUUCAGGGUACAGGGAGAUUAAGGAACAUAAGGCAGGGAUAUGUGCAGGGAAGAUGGAUACAGCAUUAGCAUCCAGAGCACAUAAACAAAACCUGUCCAUCUAUUGUGCAAUUGCUUCGGAAUAAUUUAGGAGGCCCUACAGCUGAUGCUAUAAAGAUGAAAAGGCUUAAAACUAUGUAAUGCCUUUCCACUUCUAUAAAAAAAAAACUCUCCCGCUAAAAGUGCUUAUUAUUUAUAUGAUAUCUUAAUCUAUUAUAUAUUUCUAAAAGUUUUUCUGUCCAUUCAAUCCACAAUCUUUACAAAUAGUUGGAC
RNAcentral lists this long non-coding RNA (1203 nucleotides) under Androctonus crassicauda. The record is from RNAcentral. Lineage: Eukaryota; Metazoa; Arthropoda; Arachnida; Scorpiones; Buthidae.